UUUAAGACUAAGCCUGCAUGCCUUCGAUAUCUAGCAAGUCUCUCUGAAUCUGCGUUCGGCUCCGCACACUAGUUGCAAACCAUAGCUAGCAGGCCUCCGAGACGACCGCAAGGUCGUAACUGGGUCCCACAGGAUACCCAUGGCAAUUCUGACGAUAAUACUCCCCUGCCCCCCCUGGCUGACCGGUCAACUGGAAGGCUGGGGGACGUGUACCGCUUCGCACUCCCUUAUGGAAUGAACUCUUGUUAAGACCUACCUCUCCCACCUCAUCUUCGGUACUCUUUUUGGAGAUAACCCCUGCCUGACCGCCUCUUCCACGGUGCUUCUGACCUAUCAACUAGAUGGCAGCGUAACGGACAUGCUAUGGUGACAACGGGUACAGAGGAUAAGGGUUCGA
RNAcentral lists this ribosomal RNA (397 nucleotides) under Fuligo septica. Its description in RNAcentral is "SSU rRNA". It matches the Rfam family "Eukaryotic small subunit ribosomal RNA", at positions 37 to 380 of the family's 1831-position model. Lineage: Eukaryota; Evosea; Eumycetozoa; Physariida; Physaraceae. The record is from RNAcentral.